Molecule: ribosomal RNA, 492 nt
Filed under: uncultured bacterium
Lineage: Bacteria
Description: partial 16S ribosomal RNA
Rfam family: Bacterial small subunit ribosomal RNA
Source: RNAcentral
AGUGAACGCUGGCGGUAGGCCUAACACAUGCAAGUCGAACGGCAGCACAGUAAGAGCUUGCUCUUACGGGUGGCGAGUGGCGGACGGGUGAGGAAUACAUCGGAAUCUACUUUUUCGUGGGGGAUAACGUAGGGAAACUUACGCUAAUACCGCAUACGACCUACGGGUGAAAGCAGGGGAUCUUCGGACCUUGCGCGAUUGAAUGAGCCGAUGUCGGAUUAGCUAGUUGGCGGGGUAAAGGCCCACCAAGGCGACGAUCCGUAGCUGGUCUGAGAGGAUGAUCCGCCACACUGGAACUGGGACACGGUCCAGACUCCCACGGGAGGCAGCAGUGGGGAAUAUUGGACAAUGGGCGCAAGCCUGAUCCAGCCAUACCGCGUGGGUGAAGAAGGCCUUCGGGUUGUAAAGCCCUUUUGUUGGGAAAGAAAAGCAGCAGGUUAAUACCCCGCUGUUCUGACGGUACCCAAAGAAUAAGCACCGGCUAACUUCGUG